Molecule: long non-coding RNA, 739 nt
Organism: Carassius auratus (goldfish)
Lineage: Eukaryota; Metazoa; Chordata; Actinopteri; Cypriniformes; Cyprinidae
Exons: 5
Source: RefSeq, a predicted model, not a curated record
UUUUCAAAGUUGUCCUGAGGGCAGAAACGUUUGCAAGAGGGGAGAUAAUUGCAGAGGCGGGGCCACCAUUUCCAAUCUCAACCAUCAAAAAAUCCCUCUGCGGUGCGCAGGCAAGAGGAACUGGUGGUUAUCAUUUCAAAAAAAAAAUUCUUAAAGGAGCCAGUGCCAUCUUCGGGCCCUACUUGCUGGGAGAGUGCCACUGGACCCUCUUUAGGGAACUAUUACCUACAUCGACUCCUUGGGGGAGCAACCAAAGCAUUGCUUCCAAAUAAUGGAAAAUUGGAGCUUAUUUGCUGCUAGCAGAGGCUGCCAAGGGCCCUGAAAGAUGAUGAAGAGGGACCAUGACUUACAAAACGACUCUUUGUCAUGUGGGGUGUUCUCACUAAUGUUUGCAGAAAUGAUCCUCCAGGGACAACUAGGGCACCUCCAAUGCCUCCCUACCGCUCAAGAGUGAGAGAGACUUUGGACUUUGUUGUUCAACUCCCUUGGUAAGUAGUAGACAUAUGUAUGGCAUGGGUGCUCCUUAUUGAGCUCUGCUGGCUACCUGUAGCUGCCUGCAUUAAGUUUAACUUACUGAUGAUUUGGAGUGGUAGCUUUAACUUGUAAAUUCGGAGGAUGUCAUACUUUGGAGUACAUUGUUACCAGAGAUGUAUAGUAACGAAGUAGAACUACUUCACUACUGUACUUAAGUACUAAAAGGCGGUAUCUGUACUUUACUAGAGUAUUAUUUUUUUCUCCU